Molecule: ribosomal RNA, 497 nt
Filed under: uncultured bacterium
Lineage: Bacteria
Description: partial 16S ribosomal RNA
Rfam family: Bacterial small subunit ribosomal RNA
Source: RNAcentral
GAUGAACGCUGGCGGCGUGCCUAAUACAUGCAAGUCGAGCGAACAGAUGAGGAGCUUGCUCCUCCGACGUUAGCGGCGGACGGGUGAGUAACACGUGGAUAACCUACCUAUAAGACUGGGAUAACUUCGGGAAACCGGAGCUAAUACCGGAUAAUAUAUUGAACCGCAUGGUUCAAUAGUGAAAGACGGUUUUGCUGUCACUUAUAGAUGGAUCCGCGCCGCAUUAGCUAGUUGGUAAGGUAACGGCUUACCAAGGCAACGAUGCGUAGCCGACCUGAGAGGGUGAUCGGCCACACUGGGACUGAGACACGGUCCAGACUCCUACGGGAGGCAGCAGUAGGGAAUCUUCCGCAAUGGGCGAAAGCCUGACGGAGCAACGCCGCGUGAGUGGUGAAGGUCUUCGGAUCGUAAAACUCUGUUAUUAGGGAAGAACAAAUGUGUAAGUAACUAUGCACGUCUUGACGGUACCUAAUCAGAAAGCCACGGCUAACUACGUG